GCGUAAGCUAGUAAGAUCCUAAGAUCCCUGAAAGAUGAUCAGGUUGAUAGGUUCGAGGUGGAAGCAUGGUGACAUGUGGAGCUGACGAAUACUAAUAGAUCGAGGACUUAACCAUAUAA
Molecule: ribosomal RNA, 119 nt
Filed under: Bacillus cereus
Lineage: Bacteria; Bacillati; Bacillota; Bacilli; Caryophanales; Bacillaceae
Description: partial 23S ribosomal RNA
Rfam family: Bacterial large subunit ribosomal RNA
Source: RNAcentral